This 182-nucleotide non-coding RNA is filed under the name Deltaproteobacteria bacterium. RNAcentral's name for it is "6S RNA". It matches the Rfam family "6S / SsrS RNA". Rfam says of the family: E. coli 6S RNA was the first non coding RNA to be sequenced, but its function was unknown until recently. It consists of 184 nucleotides that fold into an extended hairpin structure with a large single-stranded internal bulge. The 6S RNA specifically associates with RNA polymerase holoenzyme containing the sigma70 specificity factor. The record is from RNAcentral. Lineage: Bacteria; Pseudomonadati; Myxococcota; Myxococcia.
UUACCCCUGCCGUGCGCGUGAUUGGCGGGAGAGUUUGAGCCAACACAUGUAGAACGGGGUCCCUUCCUGGCGGCGGUGAGCAUGCCCCCACGGGGGAAGCCUGAAGCCGCCAUAACCAGGGAUCCCACCUGGUGAGAGCCAGGUUCGACUCUAUCGUCGACACGGCACAGAGCAGGGGUUUU